GUGGAAUUGAACAGAUUUCGUUUAUUUAUUCCUACAGCUGCUGCAGGAAAGUUGCAGAAUGUGGAGGAAUUUAGUCUCACAAUCACAGACAACAAAUAUUAUCUGAAAGUCGGGUUAUUGUUGUUUAUCAGCACAAUACAAAAAGAUUAAUGUUAGAAAUAUUCCAGUUAAGACUCUAGAAUAUCAUGAUUUAUGUAAAUUUACCUCAAUAAUAUGAAUGUUCACGUUAAGAUUGUACAGUGAUAUUUAUUAUGUAAGUUUAGCUGAUUAAAGUUUAUGACUCUGCACUAAAAUAUUAUUUAAAUUGACAUCAUUAUUAUAAUAUUUAGGGUCAGACCCUACAGUAUUGAGAUUAAGAAAUCAAAUAUUCUAUAAAAUGUAAAUACUCUGAACUCAUUUGGAUAUAUUUAAGUGAGACUCUACAAUAUUAUUUGACACAAAUCUAUCUAAAUCAAAAUUUUAAUAAUUUUCACACCAAACAUUUACUGGACUGAUUUAAAUAUUAAAAUCACUGCUUUCUAAUCCUCUGCUGUACGUUCAAACCCGAGGCCUUAAAUAGAAACACACAAGUAUCUGAUUGAAGGAACUUCUGCAGAGUCCUGGUUCCAGAACAUGAUGAUAGAAUUAUAGACAAACUUUAACAAAAGCUGCCUGAGAGUUUACAGGUUUUUAUGUUAGAUUUCUUCAGUAAUUUAAUGAGAGUUAUCAGCAAAAAUCAAGUGUUCAUUUGAUGAACUUCAUUUCCUAAAACAUCCAUAAUUGGAGCUCAUAUCUUUGGCAACUAUAAAGUUUCUGCUCCUUCAAAGUUCACAACACAAUGAAUGAAUUCCUAAAACACUCUCAAUGCUGGAGAGCGUUUGUGAUGCUGAAGCAGUGAUCAGUUUUUCUGUUUCUUCUCUGGAGAUACACAAUGAGGGACGUCUGCAGAGACUGAGAAAGAGUCUCACCACAUCCUGACAUGAGGAAAAAGACUUUAUUGAAGACUACAAUGAGAAAAACUAUCAGACAGCAGACAGCUGCAUUCAAGUCUGUAGCUGCUGAAUUCAUGGAUGAAUCAUCUGGCACUAGAGAGGAAGACCAUCAAACAUCCAUGUCAGCUGAUGGAGGUCCAAGAGUCUCACCAAACAAACAACCUACAGAGUGAAGACCUCAAAUCUGAUUGGACGGCCUCCUAUUCAGCCACGUGUGAACAAAUGCCUCUAAGCUGAUUUGUUUUCUAAAAUAAAUCUAGUUUGAGUCCUAAUCUA
Long non-coding RNA from Amphiprion ocellaris (clown anemonefish), 1247 nucleotides. Lineage: Eukaryota; Metazoa; Chordata; Actinopteri; Pomacentridae. The record is from Ensembl.